UAAGCAACAGUAGGCGGAGAGUGGUC
RNAcentral lists this non-coding RNA (26 nucleotides) under Homo sapiens (human). The record is from RNAcentral. Lineage: Eukaryota; Metazoa; Chordata; Mammalia; Primates; Hominidae.